UAGAAUAAACAACUCAAAUAGAAGCCCUAGAAGAAACAUCAGGAACAUAAGCUCCUAGCUCUCCUCCAACUAUUACAAGCUCUCCAACUGCUCCUAACUCUCCAGCUACUACUUCCUCUCAGGUUGUUGAUAGUGAUCUACUUGCUAGGUAUGCAAUAUAUUGUACUGUAUGUGAAUUCAUUAAUGUUAUAACUGUAAAUGUAGUAAUUGGCCUUGAUUGUAUUCAUGUUUCUCAGUCCAAGGAAAAAAUUUCAGAAGGCCAGCUCCUAGAGGUGUCAAGUGGGGGUCACCAAAUAAGAAGCAGAAGUCUAGCAUGGUACCAACUCUGAGCACAAGGAGCAAGGCUGCUAUUCCUCCUGCCAACACUAGGAGCAAGAUGACCAAACUGAAGUGAUCAUGAUGUGUUUGUGGUGUGAAUGUUGGUUUGUAAUGUUGUGGUGUGAACUAUUGUCUUAAGGUGCUGGGUGUGAACUUAUGAGUUUGUCUGCUGUUUAAAUACUGGCUGUGAACUUAUGUGUUUUGUAAUGAUUUGUUGUGAACUAUUCCAGUAUAAUGUGCUAUGAACUACUAAUUUGUGCUCACAUUUGCCCCUACAUAUCUUAUCAAUGUUUAGUUUUGC
This 619-nucleotide long non-coding RNA is filed under the name Hordeum vulgare. RNAcentral describes it as "long non-coding RNA (HVUL_LNC006413)". The record is from RNAcentral. Lineage: Eukaryota; Viridiplantae; Streptophyta; Magnoliopsida; Poales; Poaceae.